AUACGGAGGGUGCAAGCGUUAUUGGGAAUCACUGGGCGUAAAGGGUGCGUAGGCGGUUUGAUAAGUCUGAUGAGAAAUCCUAUGGCUCAACCAUAGAACUGCAUUGGAAACUGUCAGACUAGAAUACUUAAGGGGCAGAUGGAAUUAGUGGUGUAGGGGUAAAAUCCGUAGAUAUCACUAGGAAUACCGAAAGCGAAAGCGAUCUGCUGGGAAGUUAUUGACGCUGAGGCACGAAAGCGUGGGGAGCAAACGGGAUUAGAAACCCCAGUAGUCC
RNAcentral lists this ribosomal RNA (274 nucleotides) under uncultured bacterium. RNAcentral describes it as "partial 16S ribosomal RNA". It matches the Rfam family "Bacterial small subunit ribosomal RNA", at positions 523 to 796 of the family's 1533-position model. The record is from RNAcentral.